This 429-nucleotide ribosomal RNA is filed under the name Actinomycetes bacterium. RNAcentral's name for it is "Actinobacteria bacterium partial 16S ribosomal RNA". It matches the Rfam family "Bacterial small subunit ribosomal RNA", at positions 355 to 776 of the family's 1533-position model. The record is from RNAcentral. Lineage: Bacteria; Bacillati; Actinomycetota; Actinomycetes.
UAGGGAAUCUUCCGCAAUGGGCGAAAGCCUGCCGGAGCAACGCCGCGUGAGUGAUGACGUUCUUCGGAUCGUAAAACUCUGUUAUUAGGGAAGAACAAAUGUGUAAGUAACUAUGCACGUCUUGACGGUACCUAAUCAGAAAGCCACGUCUAACUACGUGCCAGCAACCGCGGUAAUACGUAGGUGGCAAGCGUUAUCCGGAAUUAUUGGGCGUAAAGCGCGCGUAGGCGGUUUUUUAAGUCUGAUGUGAAAGCCCACGGCUCAACCGUGGAGGGUCAUUGGAAACUGGAAAACUUGAGUGCAGAAGAGGAAAGUGGAAUUCCAUGUGUAGCGGUGAAAUGCGCAGGAGUAUGGAGGAACACCAGUGGCGAAGGAGACUGUCUGGUCUGUAACUGACGCUGAUGUGCGACAGCGGGGGGAUCAAACAGG